RNAcentral lists this ribosomal RNA (482 nucleotides) under uncultured bacterium. RNAcentral's name for it is "partial 16S ribosomal RNA". It matches the Rfam family "Bacterial small subunit ribosomal RNA", at positions 30 to 507 of the family's 1533-position model. The record is from RNAcentral.
AUUGAACGCUGGCGGCAUGCUUUACACAUGCAAGUCGAACAGUAACAGGCCGCAAGGUGCUGACGAGUGGCGAACGGGUGAGUAAUGCAUCGGAACGUGCCCAGUCGUGGGGGAUAACUACUCGAAAGAGUAGCUAAUACCGCAUACGAUCUAUGGAUGAAAGCGGGGGACCGUAAGGCCUCGCGCGAUUGGAGCGGCCGAUGUCAGAUUAGGUAGUUGGUGGGGUAAAGGCUCACCAAGCCAACGAUCUGUAGCUGGUCUGAGAGGACGACCAGCCACACUGGGACUGAGACACGGCCCAGACUCCUACGGGAGGCAGCAGUGGGGAAUUUUGGACAAAGGGCGCAAGCCUGAUCCAGCAAUGCCGCGUGCAGGAAGAAGGCCUUCGGGUUGUAAACUGCUUUUGUACGGAACGAAACGGCUCUGGUUAAUACCCGGGGCUAAUGACGGUACCGUAAGAAUAAGCACCGGCUAACUACGUG